CAAGGCAAUGCAAAAUGGAGGAUGAAUGCAUAUAAACAACUAUGCUGUGAUGAAAAUAAAGAAAAAUAAAUAAAUGAGUGAUAUGUAUGAACAUCUGGGCUUUAGCUUUUUCCUGUGGCGUGGCCCAUCCAAAGGACAUCAUCAUACCGACUAUUAAAGCCGAUAUAUGAGCCGAGAUGUUCCCGUUUGACAUUAGACUACCACAAGCUAGACUAGGAGCCCGAAUAGGUGUCUAUGUAGACUAGGCAUGAUGCCCGAAUACAACUCAAAGACUAGGAGCUACCCAAGAAAGCACUAGAUUUAUGCAAUAUUAAGCAAACAUGCAGUGGAAAGGAAAAAAAGAAAAGAAAUGUAAAAGAAGGAUAACUUGGAUGACUUGGUUCUAAUUAACCAACUACCGUUCCUUGGCAACGGCGC
RNAcentral lists this long non-coding RNA (417 nucleotides) under Sorghum bicolor (sorghum). RNAcentral's name for it is "long non-coding RNA (SBIC_LNC002674)". Lineage: Eukaryota; Viridiplantae; Streptophyta; Magnoliopsida; Poales; Poaceae. The record is from RNAcentral.